UACUAUUGAUGUAUGAAAAAAUUCUGAUGCAAAACAUAAAUGUAAGCAAUUAAUGCAUUAAAAGUAUCUGAAGCAAAAAAUAAAUGUAGGUAAUUAAUGCAUUAAAAUUUUCUCAUGCAAAACAUUAAUUGGAGCCAUUGAUAUAUAUUAGAAUUUUUUCAUUUAGUUAAAUCAUUAUUUUUUUUAGGUAAAUAAGUUGAUGAAAAAAUAAUUGAUGUAGAAUUAUG
This 227-nucleotide long non-coding RNA is filed under the name Lathyrus oleraceus (garden pea). RNAcentral describes it as "Pisum sativum (pea) long non-coding RNA (PSAT_LNC011306)". Lineage: Eukaryota; Viridiplantae; Streptophyta; Magnoliopsida; Fabales; Fabaceae. The record is from RNAcentral.